GCUGAUUCAAAUAUUUUUGCAAACCGCUCUUAAGAAAAUACUUGGUAACCACACCAGAACCUGGAGCCAAACUAGUUUUAACCCAUGGCUUGACCUCGAGUCCUAAUUCACAAGCCUUCUUUGCAACAAGAGCAGCACCGAGCAUCACACUGGGAUUUGAGGUGUUGGUGCAGCUCGUUAUUGCUGCAAUGACAAUACUACCAUGUUUGAGCUCCGCAGGUUGUCCUUGAAAGGAAAAUUUUACAACUUUGUCCUGCGACUCCUUGGGCACUGCAAAGCCCUUGAAUCCAACUUUGUUAUCAAGACAUGAAUGCCAGUCUGUUUUCAUCUCUUUCAGUAUAACUCGGUCAUGAGGCCUCUUUGGACCUGAA
Molecule: unclassified non-coding RNA, 371 nt
Filed under: Hevea brasiliensis (rubber tree)
Lineage: Eukaryota; Viridiplantae; Streptophyta; Magnoliopsida; Malpighiales; Euphorbiaceae
Source: RNAcentral